Molecule: long non-coding RNA, 461 nt
Filed under: Homo sapiens (human)
Lineage: Eukaryota; Metazoa; Chordata; Mammalia; Primates; Hominidae
Description: non-protein coding lnc-FBXL7-3:2
Source: RNAcentral
CAGACUAUUCCCAGGCAGCUGACUUCCACAUCCUUGUGAUUGGCCUCCAGGGGCAUGAGGGAAAAGGAGAGAAUGAAUCAGCCAAAAUCCCAUCACUAUCCUUGGAAAAAAUGCCAUGUGAUGUUAUAUUCUAAAAUUUGCAAGUUGGAGCUGAAAAUAAUCAGCGGAAUUUGCAUUAAAUUUUGUUAAAGGACAAGUGGAUUCAAUUGACCAUGAGAGAUACAAAAGGGAGUUCCUAUUAUCAUCAUUUUGGGAGGUUAAGCCUUUUCUAAACCCCAGAGCUCAUAAGCAAUGGAGCUGAGACUGUAACCCUGACCUACCUACCUUCAAAGACCAUACUGUUUCCACUAAGUCAAACUACCUUAAAAAUACUUAUUCCUUUUGGCUCAGUAAGUCACCUUUUGGGAAUCUACAUGGAAUCUGAAAUGUACGAGAUAAGCCUGGGACAUUUUGAGAUGCAA